CAGUAGCCGCGGUAAUACGUAGGUGGCAAGCGUUGUCCGGAAUUAUUGGGCGUAAAGGGCUCGCAGGCGGUUUCUUAAGUCUGAUGUGAAAGCCUCCGGCUCAACCGGGGAGGGUCAUUGGAAACUGGGAAACUUGAGUGCAGAAGAGGAGAGUGGAAUUCCACGUGUAGCGGUGAAAUGCGUAGAGAUGUGGAGGAACACCAGUGGCGAAGGCGACUCUCUGGUCUGUAACUGACGCUGAGGAGCGAAAGCGUGGGGAGCGAACAGGAUUAGAUACCCCUGUAGUCCCUGUCUCUUAUAA
This 301-nucleotide ribosomal RNA is filed under the name uncultured bacterium. RNAcentral's name for it is "partial 16S ribosomal RNA". It matches the Rfam family "Bacterial small subunit ribosomal RNA", at positions 509 to 809 of the family's 1533-position model. The record is from RNAcentral.